CCGGGCGGGAGGGAGCGGG
RNAcentral lists this microRNA (19 nucleotides) under Gallus gallus (chicken). Its description in RNAcentral is "gga-miR-12241-3p". Lineage: Eukaryota; Metazoa; Chordata; Aves; Galliformes; Phasianidae. The record is from miRBase by way of RNAcentral.